GUUCUUCCUUAGAAAGUUGGUAGCUCGCCUUCGCGCGGCGCUUUCAUCAACUUCUUGGGGAGGCACAAGUCAUUAUCCCUUUCUGUGUUCAGCUUCUGCUUAUUAUCCUGCGUCAACGACAGCUCAUCAUCAUGCGCUCGAUUAUGCCAGGACCCUGAUCCCAGCGCGGACAGCUUCAGGCUCCCUUUACGCUUACCAAACACAGUCCCAGGACUACUCGGCUCACGAGCGAUAGAAGAAACCAACCCAAGCCACAUAACUUUUGGAUAUUCGCCGUUUGCGUAAAAUAUUCAUGUGCAUUGCUAAGUGGCCCGCGAAAGACUCUCCAUUUCCAGCCAAUGGACUUCAAUUGGUAACCCGACACGAGCAGCGAGGUCCCACCCGGCCUCCACCCCUUCGGUCAUAUAACAAAGAUCGCUGCGUUGAUAAACUUGAACGCCCCGGGGGCACGGCCACAUGGACGCACUGCAGCACACAACGGCAAGAAUAAUAAUAAUAAUAACAAUAAUAACAACAACAAUAGAGAAACGCACGUGUUAACAAGGAUGCGAUAAAAAAAAUAAAACGUUGUGAGGAAAUAAACGCUAGAAUGACAGGAAAUA
Long non-coding RNA from Drosophila novamexicana, 602 nucleotides. RefSeq lists it as uncharacterized. The transcript has 2 exons. Lineage: Eukaryota; Metazoa; Arthropoda; Insecta; Diptera; Drosophilidae. The record is from RefSeq and is a predicted model, not a curated record.